AUUGAACGUUGGCGGCGUGGAUUAGGCAUGCAAGUCGAACGGGCCGCAAGGCCAGUGGCGGAAGGGUGAGUUAUGCGAUGGCAACCAACCUCGCGGAUGGGCAUAGCUGUGGAAACUACAGGUAAUACCCAGCGACGUUCGGGACAGGCAUCUUUCCUGAACCAAAGGUGUGAAUCCGCCGUGAGACGGGCCAUCGUGAUAUUAGGUAGUUGGCGGGGUAAUAGCCCACCAAGCCUAUGAUGUCUACCGGGCGUGCGAGCGUGGCCCGGCACACUGGGACUGAGACACUGCCCAGACUCUUACGGGAGGCUGCAGUCGAGAAUCUUCGGCAAUGGGCGAAAGCCUGACCGAGCGACGCCGCGUGGAGGAUGAAGGCCCUUGGGUUGUAAACUCCUGUCGAGGGGAAAGAAGGGUGGCUGAAGAAGUCAUCUUGACUGAUCCCUGGAGGAAGCACGGGCUAAGUUCGUGCCAGCCGCCGCGGUAAGAC
Molecule: ribosomal RNA, 487 nt
Filed under: uncultured bacterium
Lineage: Bacteria
Description: bacterial SSU rRNA
Rfam family: Bacterial small subunit ribosomal RNA
Source: RNAcentral